Pteropus alecto (black flying fox) is the source of this 119-nucleotide non-coding RNA. The record is from Rfam. NCBI's taxonomy places the organism in Eukaryota, Metazoa, Chordata, Mammalia, Chiroptera, Pteropodidae.
GUCUACGGCCAUGCUACUCUGAACAAGCCUGAUCCCGUCUGAUCUCAGAAGCUAAGUAGGGUCGGGCCUGGUUAGUACUUGGAUAGGAGGCCACCUAGGAAGAACAGGUGCUGUAGGCG